UGACGUUACCAAACUGUUGCCUCGGCGGGGUCACGCCCCGGGUGCGUCGCAGCCCCGGAACCAGGCGCCCGCCGGAGGAACCAACCAAACUCUUUCUGUAGUCCCCUCGCGGACGUAUUUCUUACAGCUCUGAGCAAAAAUUCAAAAUGAAUCAAAACUUUCAACAACGGAUCUCUUGGUUCUGGCAUCGAUGAAGAACGCAGCGAAAUGCGAUAAGUAAUGUGAAUUGCAGAAUUCAGUGAAUCAUCGAAUCUUUGAACGCACAUUGCGCCCGCCAGUAUUCUGGCGGGCAUGCCUGUCCGAGCGUCAUUUCAACCCUCGAACCCCUCCGGGGGAUCGGCGUUGGGGAUCGGGACCCCUCACACGGGUGCCGGCCCCGAAAUACAGUGGCGGUCUCGCCGCAGCCUCUCCUGCGCAGUAGUUUGCACAACUCGCACCGGGAGCGCGGCGCGUCCACGUCCGUAAAACACCCAACUUUCUGAAAUGUUGACCUCGGAUCAGGUAGGAAUACCCGCUGAACUUAAGCAUAUCAAUAAGCGGAGGA
This 544-nucleotide ribosomal RNA is filed under the name Trichoderma asperellum. Its description in RNAcentral is "eukaryotic LSU rRNA". The stretch from base 156 to 309 matches the Rfam family "5.8S ribosomal RNA". The record is from RNAcentral. Lineage: Eukaryota; Fungi; Ascomycota; Sordariomycetes; Hypocreales; Hypocreaceae.